UAGCUCAGUUGGUAGAGCAUCUCCUUUACACGGAGGGGGUCGGCGGUUCGAGCCCG
This 56-nucleotide transfer RNA is filed under the name Serratia marcescens. RNAcentral's name for it is "tRNA-Val". It matches the Rfam family "tRNA", at positions 8 to 61 of the family's 71-position model. Rfam says of the family: Transfer RNA (tRNA) molecules are approximately 80 nucleotides in length. The record is from RNAcentral. Lineage: Bacteria; Pseudomonadati; Pseudomonadota; Gammaproteobacteria; Enterobacterales; Yersiniaceae.